UUCUAGUUAACUCUUGAUCCAAAGAAUACUUCUUUGUGUAACCAUAAAGUUACUGUCUGCAUAUUCCUUCUCAUAUUCCAUGUCAAAAUUAUACAACAUGACACGGUCUUAUUUACAUGACCAAGGCAGGGGCAUCUCUGUGACUGACAAAAGCUAAAGGAGUCUUCUUCCUUGGGGCAUAAUGGAGAUUUUAUGGUGUUUUAAUUCUGCUUUUUUUUUUUUUUAAUUCUGCUUUUUUUAGGUCAGCUUUGAAAUCACAUCACGUGCCUGUGACCCAGGGCUGAGGAAAGGCUCCUGGAAGACAAGCUCCCUCCUACAGAAGGGCUGCUUCCUUUCAUCAGAGGACACAGCUCCCCAAGCUCCCCAGUGAUUUAUAUGCCCUGGUGUGUUACUGAGGAGAUGCCAGUGAGGGCCUGAAACAAAUCUUCCUCCAGAAUAGGAAGUAAACCGUGGUCUGCGGGACAUAUGGCACACAGCUCCUCAAAGAUUAAUGGGAACAUGAGACUUUGCUGGGUCCUCGGACCAGGGAUGAUAAGGGUGUUGGAAACAGUACCUCCUCUCAGCUUUGAAGUGUCCCUGACUACAAAGGUUUGAGGAAAUUUAGAGUGAACAGGAAUCCCCAAAAUAAGGUUUGGCAGGCAGAAUGCCUAUUGUAAAGAAUUCCCUAGACAUAUAUAAGCAAGGUUUCAAACAUCUUCAAACCGAUGCAGGGGAGUUCAGGGACCCUUGAGAAGCUGGUGAUACUUAUUUUGUAAAUUACUGAGACGGGGAACGUCUUCUGAGGCUGCACAGACCCAGCAGAUUUUCACUGUUCAUCACAUGAGCACUGCGGAUGGAGAUCACACCCCUCAGUAGUUUGGGGAACCACAAAUGCAGGUCUCCCAGGAACCCUCGCGGCUCACUGACCUGUGUUCCCUGACUGUUGAUGUCGAUGGCGUCGCUCCACUCACUCGUCGUUUCCUCCAGCAAUUCUACUCUCAAAAGGAGGCUGGGGAGUAAGUCUCUGGUCCUGCAGUCUGGAUAACUGGAAAGCUGAUGAUACAGCUCAUGAUGAAUUGAGCACUCAGGAGGAAUUCUUCUGCAAUAAACCUCACACUUUGGAAUAUCUAAAAUUGAAAAAAGAAAGGCAUAUGCAGACUUAGGCCUUGAAGAAAAAGACUUGGGGAUACUAAACGUAAUGGGGCAGGAGAAACUUCUCAGAGAAGCUCACUUUUAUUUAAGGGUCACAGGUAACUACGAAGUCAAAAACCUCCAGAAAGAAUAUAGGUUUUGUAUUAUUUAAAUUCAAUACUAUAACAUAUACCUUUAGUAUUUUCCUUUAUAAGUAGUGUUAUUGGACAUCUGUUGUGGAAAAUUAUUCGAGGACUAGGGUCUUCUGAGAGGGUUAAAUAAGUCACUCCAAAGUGCUCUUGAUAUGUCAGUGCUAUAGCCCUAGAACAGAAUCAAAGGAUAGAAAUGGUUUAGAAAAAAAUGCACGCUUUCUCUCCUGAUACAUGUUUAUUUGGAUCUGCAAUAUUCAGAACCUCUAUAACACCUUCUCUCUUAUACAUCAGAGGAAAUGUUUUCCAGAGACUGGAUGGGCAUCCACUUAUCUAUUACCUGCCAAACACUAAUGAUAGGUUUACUAAUUUUUUCUGACAGUAGUAAACAUUUUUGUCAUAAAAUGUUCAAAAAAAUGUGAAAGAUCAUAUACACACUACUAUAUUUAAAACAGAUAACAAAGACCUACUGUAUAGCACAGGGAACUGCUCAAUUCCGUAACAACCUAAAUGGGAAAAGAAUUUGAAAAAGAAUAUGUAUAACUGAAUCACUUUGCUGUACACCUGAAACUAACACAACGUUGUUAAUCAACUAUACUCCAAUAUAAAAUAAAAAUUAAAAAAAUAAAAUUAAGUUAAAAAUAUAAAUAAAAUAAAA
Orcinus orca (killer whale) is the source of this 1917-nucleotide long non-coding RNA. RefSeq lists it as uncharacterized. The record is from RefSeq and is a predicted model, not a curated record. Lineage: Eukaryota; Metazoa; Chordata; Mammalia; Artiodactyla; Delphinidae. The transcript has 2 exons.